Molecule: non-coding RNA, 32 nt
Filed under: Mus musculus (house mouse)
Lineage: Eukaryota; Metazoa; Chordata; Mammalia; Rodentia; Muridae
Source: RNAcentral
UCAGCAUUUGAAAGCUUAAAAUGCCAUGGAGU